AUUCAUCAUUUUCAGGAGAUAAAUCGGGAGUCAUUCCAGUGCACGUCUCAACGCAGUCAUUAGCAGUUUGGAGGAAUGUAUUGAACGCUUUCGUGUAUGCUGAAGCUUUUGGAGUCAUCCUGUGACUUCCACAACAGUAAACAAGGAGACUAGUCCUUCCUUAUCCAGAGAGUGUUCUUUGCCAGACACCAAGCGUGCUGCCGCUGGUUCUUUUUACACGUCUUGCCUCUGGCAGUAAGUCACUUCACAGCACGGUAUUACUGUGAAACUUCGCCUCUCUGAUUUUGAAAAUGCAUACCUGAGGAAGCCAAACAUGACGAAAGUAGCAUAAAAAUCUCAUGAAGAGUAGAUGAAACAACUAGGAGACAUUUAAAGUGAUUUCAGAUGCCUGUAAAACCACAGCGUUCUGUUCUCCAAGGUGUGACGAUCCUAAAGAGGACUCCUCCUGCAGUGCCAAGCACUUCAGUAUAGUACCAGACAGAUCACUGGAGCACUCCUUCACUAAUAUGCAAAAACCAGGCUGGGAACCAAGGUCUGGCAAAGGUUAAUCUCCUGUAUGCAUCAAGACCGUAAGGGAAGUGACUGAAGUCCAGGGUUCCGUUGACACUUCUGUUCAACUUAUGACCAAUCAGAAGACUGCAUAAAUCCAGAAAGUAUGGUGCCAACCGCACUCACCGACUGAGGGCAUUAAUUCCAUACAAAGUGUUCCAUAACUGCUUUGAUGGGUAGCUGUUCCUCCAUUUCCUUCCAAAACUAAACCAUCACACCAAAGACACUGAAUACCAGAAGGGAGAGCUGUCCAUGGAUUUUUAUCAAACAGGCUAAACAUUUUGAGCCUCAGCACUGUUUGGGUUGUUUGCUUGUUGUAAUUUUUUUAUAUGAAAAUUAACUAAAGAUGAACGGGAAACAAGAUUUUAACAAUAUAGUAAGACUUCACCGCCAGUUGCUCCAACUUACUUAGAACAAACUGAGUUUUCCAGCAAAGAAAACAGUACUAGCACUAUAUCAAUCUGAAGUUAAAGAACAAAUGUCAGUCUAUUCUUGACAAACUCUUGCUUGCAUUUGUCUCUUUAGGACUCAGGCUCUUUGAUUCACUACGUUGUCCACCACGCACAGUAGCAUAAUGGAGUAGGGUGUCAGAGCCUGCCGUGUACCCCUCCACUUGCAGGGAUUCAGCUGCCUGUA
This 1185-nucleotide long non-coding RNA is filed under the name Struthio camelus australis. Its description in RNAcentral is "lncRNA (ENSSCUG00000009390.1)". Lineage: Eukaryota; Metazoa; Chordata; Aves; Struthioniformes; Struthionidae. The record is from RNAcentral.